RNAcentral lists this long non-coding RNA (1532 nucleotides) under Fukomys damarensis (Damara mole-rat). RNAcentral's name for it is "lncRNA (ENSFDAG00000024558.1)". Lineage: Eukaryota; Metazoa; Chordata; Mammalia; Rodentia; Bathyergidae. The record is from RNAcentral.
CUACAUCCCAUUCGGUCCCUGCCCUUGGCUGUCUCACAAGAUGGCUGUGCCUUCAGAGCCCUCUGUCUACCAUGAAGUGUCUGACACUGUAGCCGAGUCCCUGAGGUGCUGUCCCAUUAAACUGCUGCACUUCUCAACCAGAAGAGAGGAGAAGGCCUGCACACCAAGGAUGUGGAGCAGUGGAGACCAUCUCAGAAUGUCCAGCGUUUCCCCUCAGAGGUCUGCCAUUUUCAUUACUAACUGCCAUUUAGAGCAACCAGACUAAAGGAUAUCUGCUGUAUGUAAUAAUCCCCAGUUUCUACUGGAGGCAGAAAUGGCACCAAGAACGAGUAAAUGCCCACAGAUUUUCGAGAAAAUUUCCCGGUUUAUUUCAGACAAAUUGCCAACAGCCGAAUAUUCCAGUUUAUUCAAUGAUUUUGUUGAGUCUGAAUUUUUUCUCAUUGAUGGGGAUUCAUUACUUAUCACAUGUAUAUGUGAGAAAUUAUUAGAGCCUGGACAGAGUCUCCAUUUCUUCUACCUGGUUGAACGCUAUCUCAUGGAUCUUUUUAAUAAAGGAGGGCAAUUUACCAUAAUUUUCUUCCAGGAUGCUGAGUACACAUAUUUCAGCUCUCCUGAACUUCUUCCUUUGAGAACUGCUUUAAUUCUUCAUCUUCAGAAAAAUACCUGCAUUAAUGUUUGUACUCAAUUUACUGGAUGCUUAUCAAAGGAGUGGAAAAUGUUCUUGGAUCAGAAUUACCCGUAUUUCCUGAUAGUUGCAGAUGAAGGCCUGAACCCUCUGCAAACCCAAAUUUUCAACCUUUUAAUCAUUCAGUGUUGGUCUAUGAGAGUCAAUGUUGUGCUUUUCUCUGGGCAAACAUCUGAUAUUCUUCGACUUUAUGCAUACUUUCUGCCAAGUCUAUACAGGAACCAGAACUUUUUCAAGGAGAAUGAAAAUGAGAUUCAAAUUGCUUAUAAAAAGCUCCUUAGAAAAUUGAGAAAAUACAGAGUUCUACCUUUAGCACCUCUUUUUAAAAACUUUGCAUUGAAACAUAUGAUGGAAGAGGCAUAUGAAACUGUAUCUCUGCUCCAACAAGUCUGGCCAAAAGGAUCUGACAUUCGACGUGUCAUUUGUGUCACUUCAUGCUCACUGGCUUUGGGAAUGUACCAUCGCUUCUUAGAAAACAGAAGAAAGACCCCCUCUGAAGAGACAACUGAUAACAAAACGGUGAACAGUGAUUACUUAACCCUGCGGGAUGUGGAAGAUCUGUGCAAACUGCAUUGUCUCAGUGUGGUUUUUCUACUACACGUACCUCUGUCUCAGAGAGCUUGCUCUAGAUUCAUCACUUCCAGUUGGACUGAAGACACUCAGAUAUUCUUUAAAAUGGUGAAUAUAAUCUUUACUGAUUUAGCGUGUGAUGUGUAAAACUCAACUGUGUGAUGUGUAAAAUCAACGAUAGCUUUCAAAACAGAUUGAUAUGGCAACAGUGACCUCAAUGAAUCAGUUGACUAAUUCCAACAACUAGCUUUGUUGGUAACAAAUAGCAUGAUUUAUA